This 269-nucleotide ribosomal RNA is filed under the name uncultured prokaryote. RNAcentral describes it as "partial 16S ribosomal RNA". It matches the Rfam family "Bacterial small subunit ribosomal RNA", at positions 524 to 792 of the family's 1533-position model. The record is from RNAcentral.
UACGGAGGGAGCGAACGUUGUUCGGAAUCACUGGGCGUAAAGGGCGUGUAGGCGGUCUAGCAAGUCAGGGGUGAAAUACCACGGCUCAACCGUGGACGUGCCUUUGAAACUGCUGGACUUGAGGCCGUGAGAGGAGACUGGAAUUCCCGGUGUAGCGGUGAAAUGCAUAGAUAUCGGGAAGAACACCAGUGGCGAAGGCGAGUCUCUGGCACGGUUCUGACGCUAAUGCGCGAAAGCUAGGGGAGCGAACGGGAUUAGAUACCCGCGUA